Molecule: long non-coding RNA, 844 nt
Organism: Chinchilla lanigera (long-tailed chinchilla)
Lineage: Eukaryota; Metazoa; Chordata; Mammalia; Rodentia; Chinchillidae
Exons: 3
Source: RefSeq, a predicted model, not a curated record
CUGUUCCUGCCUCACUCUCCCAGAAUCCUGGGAUUACAGGCAUGCCAUAUUGUGGACAUUUAUGUGGACUCUCUAAGUGGCGGCACCUUGCUAGCGGCCGUGAUGAUACAACUCCCUUGGCAAAGGUGAAUGUAGAAGAGUUCCAGCACUGCAGAAUGAAACUUGCCAGGAGGGGGAGCCCUACGUAACUGCAUGGAGAAACUGCUCUGCCAGUCUGUGCAAGAGAUGUAGUUGACAAGAAACAAACUUCUGUUGUGUUAAGGCACUUAGACACCUGGGGAUGUUCCUUACUGCAACAUAACCUAGCUUAUACAAAUACAUGCAAACAAACUAGCACUUAUUAAUAUGUAUUAUGUGUCAGAAAUUUUGUGAAUACUUCUCAUGUAUCAUUCUACUAACUCUGUACAAAGCCCCAAAGCCAGUACUGUUAUACUGAGGUGACGAAGCUAAGUCAAUGUAAGGACAAAUUUGUCCAAGGCUGCCAGCUAAACGGAACGAAUGGAAAUGAAACCCAAGCAGUUCAGAGAAAUACCCACCAAGCCGUUAACAGUGGUUUCCCUUGCAGGUGGGAUUAUGGACUGACCACUCCUUAUUUUUUCAUUUAAAAAAAAUCAUAUUAUUUCUUUUGUAGUAGACAAAUAAAUAAAAAAAAGCUAUAAAAAGGCAAAUAAAUAAAAGCAAAUAAAUUUAAAAAGCUACCUAUUAGAUACUUUCAGAUUAUGAAUUCAGAAAUGAAAAUGAAGUAAUCAUGGGACCUUGGUGUAAUUAAGGAGGCCGGGGAUGUAGCUCAGCGGCAUAAGCGCUUACCUGGCAAGCCUGAGGUCAUGAGUUCCAUUCCCAGUAC